Molecule: ribosomal RNA, 499 nt
Filed under: uncultured bacterium
Lineage: Bacteria
Description: partial 16S ribosomal RNA
Rfam family: Bacterial small subunit ribosomal RNA
Source: RNAcentral
GAUGAACGCUGGCGGCGUGCCUAAUACAUGCAAGUCGAGCGAACAGACGAGAGUGCUUGCACUCUCUGACGUUAGCGGCGGACGGGUGUGUAACACGUGGGUAACCUACCUAUAAGACUGGGAUAACUUCGGGAAACCGGAGCUAAUACCGGAUAAUAUUUAGCUUCGCAUGAAGCAAUAGUGAAAGACGGUUCUGCUGUCACUUAUAGAUGGACCCGCGGUGUAUUAGCUAGUUGGUGAGGUAACGGCUCACCAAGGCAACGAUACAUAGCCGACCUGAGAGGGUGAUCGGCCACACUGGGACUGAGACACGGCCCAGACUCCUACGGGAGGCAGCAGUAGGGAAUCUUCCGCAAUGGACGAAAGUCUGACGGAGCAAUGCCGCGUGAGUGAAGAAGGUUUUCGGAUCGUAAAACUCUGUUGUAAGGGAAGAACAAGUACGUUAGUAACUGAACGUACCUUGACGGUACCUUACCAGAAAGCCACGGCUAACUACGUG